RNAcentral lists this ribosomal RNA (498 nucleotides) under uncultured Eubacteriales bacterium. Its description in RNAcentral is "uncultured Clostridiales bacterium partial 16S ribosomal RNA". Lineage: Bacteria; Bacillati; Bacillota; Clostridia; Eubacteriales. The record is from RNAcentral.
CACGUAGUUAGCCGGGGCUUCUUAGUCAGGUACCGUCAUUUUCUUCCCUGCUGAUAGAGCUUUACAUACCGAAAUACUUCAUCGCUCACGCGGCGUCGCUGCAUCAGGGUUCCCCCAUUGUGCAAUAUUCCCCACUGCUGCCUCCCGUAGGAGUCUGGGCCGUGUCUCAGUCCCAAUGUGGCCGUUCACCCUCUCAGGCCGGCUACUGAUCGUCGCCUUGGUGGGCCGUUACCCCGCCAACUAACUAAUCAGACGCGGGUCCAUCUCAUACCACCGGAGUUUUUCACACCGGACCAUGCGGUCCUGUGCGCUUAUGCGGUAUUAGCAGUCAUUUCUAACUGUUAUCCCCCUGUAUGAGGCAGGUUACCCACGCGUUACUCACCCGUCCGCCGCUCAGUCAAAUCACUUCUCCUCCCGAAAGAAUCAAAGCAAAGUGCUUCGCUCGACUUGCAUGUGUUAGGCACGCCGCCAGCGUUCAUCCUGAGCCAGGAUCAAACU